GUGAAGAGGCGGAACGCAUUGACCGAAAUGUCGCCUGGACCUAAAACACCUACAAAAAGUAUCGAUGUUUGUGUAUUGUAUGGAGAAACGGAAACGCUCGACUCGUGUCGACUACUUGUGAAACAAUCCGGUCGAAGACGUCGUCUCUCAACUCGAACUUCAUUCCCGCGUCUCAAAUUGCUAAUCCGACUAUAAACAAUGACGGGCGCCCGGAAGAGGAAGUUUUGAUAGGAAACGGAAGCGAUUAGCCCGGAAUCCCCGAAAUAUUGGGCGUGGUCCCCAGAGCUAAAUCAUCGUCGUUAAGGCAAAUAUUUUGGUCUAGACACUCUAAUCUGGGUCACAGGGAUGCUGGAGCCGAUUCCAGCAGUCAUUGGGCAGCAGGCGGGGAGACACCCUGGACAGGCCACCAGGCCAUCACAGGGCCGACACACAUGCACACACACCCAUUCAUUCCUAGGGACAAUUUAGUAUGGCCAAUUCACCUGACUUACAUGUCAUUGGACUGUGGGAGGAAACCGGAGCCCCCGGAGAAGACCCACACAGACACGGGGAGAACAUGCAAACUCCACACAGAGGAUGACCCGGGAUGACCCACCAAGGUUGGACUACCCCGGGGCUCCAACCCCGGACCUUCUUACUGUGAGGCAACCGCACUAACCACUGCACCACCGUGCCGCCUGUCAUGCGAUUAAUGAAAUGCAUUAUUAAGUGGAUGGUCUGAUGUUUCAAACAAGUUGUCCAACACCACCUCUCCGAUCAUGUCGUGUCGUGAAAACCUG
Long non-coding RNA from Lampris incognitus (smalleye Pacific opah), 779 nucleotides. RefSeq lists it as uncharacterized. The record is from RefSeq and is a predicted model, not a curated record. The transcript has 3 exons. Lineage: Eukaryota; Metazoa; Chordata; Actinopteri; Lampriformes; Lampridae.